CGGAUGCGGAUCUCGAAAGCCUGUCCCAGUUCGGACUGGAGUCUGCAACCCGACUCCACGAAGUUGGAUUCGCUAGUAAUCGCGCAUCAGCCAUGGCGCGGUGAAUACGUUCCCGAGCCUUGUACACACCGCCCGUCAAGCCAUGGGAGCCGGGGGCGCCUGAAGUCCGGGACCGCGAGGACCGGCCUAGGGCGAAACUGGUAACUGGGGGCUAAGUCGUAACAAGGUACC
Molecule: ribosomal RNA, 231 nt
Filed under: uncultured bacterium
Lineage: Bacteria
Description: partial 16S ribosomal RNA
Rfam family: Bacterial small subunit ribosomal RNA
Source: RNAcentral